This 1455-nucleotide ribosomal RNA is filed under the name uncultured organism. RNAcentral describes it as "partial 16S ribosomal RNA". It matches the Rfam family "Bacterial small subunit ribosomal RNA". The record is from RNAcentral.
UUGAUCCUGGCUCAGAACGAACGCUGGCGGCGCGCUUAACACGUGCAAGUCGAGCGAGAAAGCCCCUUCGGGGGUGAGUACAGCGGCGCACGGGUGAGUAACACGUGGACAAUCUACCUCGAAGUGGGGGAUAACUUCGCGAAAGUGGGGCUAAUACCGCAUAAUCUUCUUUUGCCGAGGUGAAAGGAGGAAAGGUUUACCGCUUUGAGAUGAGUCUGCGGCCCAUCAGCUAGUUGGUAGGGUAACGGCCUACCAAGGCGACGACGGGUAGCUGGCCUGAGAGGGUAACCAGCCACACUGGAACUGGAACACGGUCCAGACUCCUACGGGAGGCAGCAGUGGGGAAUCUUGCGCAAUGGGGGAAACCCUGACGCAGCGACGCCGCGUGGGUGAAGAAGGCCUUCGGGUUGUAAAGCCCUGUCGCAGAGGAAGAAAAGGCAACUUGACGGUACUCUGUGAGAAAGCACAGGCUAACUCCGUGCCAGCAGCCGCGGUAACACGGAGUGUGCGAGCGUUGUUCGGAAUCACUGGGCGUAAAGCGAUUGUAGGCGGAUUAUCAAGUCGGUUGUGAAAUCCCGGGGCUCAACCCCGGACUGGCAUCCGAAACUGAUAGUCUUGAGUCCGGUAGAGGGCAGUGGAAUUCCCGGUGUAGAGGUGAAAUUCGUAGAUAUCGGGAAGAACACCAGUGGCGAAGGCGACUGCCUAGGCCGAGACUGACGCUGAGAAUCGAAAGCGUGGGGAGCGAACAGGAUUAGAUACCCUGGUAGUCCACGCCGUCAACGGUGGGCACUAGGUGGUGCGGGUGUCUGACCCCUGCGCCGCCGGAGUUAACGCAUUAAGUGCCCCGCCUGGGGAGUACGGCCGCAAGGCUAAAACUCAAAGGAAUUGACGGGGGCCCGCACAAGCGGAGGAGCAUGUGGUUUAAUUCGAUGAUACGCGAGGAACCUUACCUGGGCUUGAACGUAUGGUGCAUGAGUGUGAAAGCACUCUUUCCUUCACAGGACUUCAUACGAGGUGCUGCAUGGUUGUCGUCAGCUCGUGCCGUGAGGUGUUAGGUUAAGUCCUGCAACGAGCGCAACCCCUGUUUCUAGUUGCCAGCAGGUUAUGCUGGGCACUCUAGAAAGACUGCCUGCGCAAGCAGAGAGGAAGGUGGGGAUGACGUCAAAUCAGCACGGCCCUUACGUCCAGGGCUACACACGUGCUACAAUGGUCGGCACAGAGGGUGGCUACCCGGCGACGGGAUGCUAAUCUCCAAAGUCGAUCUUAGUUCGGAUCGAAGUCUGCAACUCGACUUCGUGGAGUUGGAUUCGCUAGUAAUCGUAUAUCAGCCAUGAUACGGUGAAUACGUUCCCGGGCCUUGUACACACCGCCCGUCAAGCCAUGGAAGUUGGGGGUACCUGAAGUCGAUUACCGUAAGGGAUUGCCUAGGGUAAACCGAUAACUGGGGCUAAGUCG